UAUAGAUUAAAACUAUGGUUUUAUAUUUCAUUGAUAUACAUUGCAUUUUUUUUAAAACGGAAGCGUGAUUCCAAAACGGAAUCGUAAGCUUCCAACAAGUUCUUAAAGAGAAUAUUUUAGAAACGUUUUGGAAGCGAGAUUCUGCAAGCUUCCACAAGGUUCCGAUUCCGAUUCCGGUUCCGAAGCAGGAAGCGGACGUCCGAUGAAGCUUCCGUGCAACGUACGAGUAUAUACAAUUGUUAAUUAUCUCUAUUAUUAAAAAGGAAUGUGCAUAUUCUGUUUUGCGUAACAAUCAAAACUACCAAAAGAUUGUGAUUUAUCCUAUUAAACCUAUCAUUCACAUUGCCAACUAUAUAUAUCUCCUCUGUCCUACGUGAAAAACAUAUCACCGCAAUCCACCAAGAAAGUAAACAUAUCUAAGCUUACAACUUUUUCCCCUCUCACCAAACUAAGACCUUUCAAAGACAACUGGCGAGUUCGAGUGAAGCGUUUGCAUUCAUGGAAGCAAACGACAACCUAUGGAGGGGAUACCUUCGAGAUGAUUUUUGCUGAUGAAUGGGUAACGUUUUGGUGACAUUUUGUUCCAAUCUUUACACUUCAUUCUAAGCUGAACUUUUUUUUUAUUAGGGUAACAAGAUCCAGGCUACUUGCAAACGAACUCUCAUGUACCGAGUUCAACGUGAUUUGCUGAAAGGGGAAUGGGGAGUUAUUGAAAAAUGUCACCAACAUCCAGCUGGUGGUCAAUAUCGAGCUACAGAUCAUCCUUACAAGAUGACGAUAGCAGAGGACGCCAUCCUAUCCGGUUCGAAUUUUAGUGAUGAUAGAAUGUUUCUGAAUCUUGCCAGUUAUGAACAAAUUGAAAAUGGAACUCUAAAGGCACCUUUCCUCAUAGGAAAUCUCUAAUUUGAUUGUAUAUAUAUAUUUUGUACUGUUUUGGUUAAUUUACGAUAUAAGAAACAUAAACUAUGUUUUAUGCAUUUUCUGGCAGAUGUAAUAGGGAGAGUCCAUGAACUUGGUGAUGUUCAAACCGUCCAGGUGUCAGGAGAAAACAGAAAAAGAGUUCUAUUUCGCUUGGUUGACGCCGAAGGAAACAAUAUUGCAUGUUGUCUUUGGGGAACUUAGGCUGAGCAACUAGAACCUUUUACUGAGAACACCAAAGAUCAAACAAUUGUUUGUUUGAUAAGAUUUGCUAAAAUCAGCUACUUUAGAGGAGAGUUACAAAUCACCAAUGCUUUUGAUGCGUCCCUCAUGUACCUCAAUCCAGUGAUUCCUGAAAUUGCAGAUUUAACACAAAGGUUUCAUAUUAUUUUAAUAUUUAAUAUUUUAGAUUUUAGAUGCGUGUAUUGUUGAUGAAAGUCUUAAGCGUUAUUUGAUUAUUAUCUUAAUGGAUUGUAGGCUGUCAGAUGAUCAUCAAUCUCUUGCUGUGGUAUACAAACAGAAAGGAAAGGAGUCUAAAAGAAUUGUGUAUAACUAGGAUGAUGCUGAGAUCAAAUCUAUUUCAGAAGUUAACGAGGCCAAUCAGGUACUCACUUAUAAGUUUACUUACUAUUUUGUAACCGUAAAUUACAUGUUUGUAUUUUAUAAAAAAAUAUAGGUGGAGAUUUGCAAAGUCAUAUGUACUAUUGAAGCAAUAGAUACAGAUUGGACAUGGUUUUACUUCGGCUGCAACCGUCACAACAAACGUGUCACUAAGCUUCCUAAUGUUGAUUAUGGUAGGAUGACAAAAAUUGAUAAACCAUUGUUUCGUUGUGAAGGUUGUCAAAAUAGUAUCACUAACGUGUCGCCCAAGUAAGUGAUUUUUAACUGUUUUACGAGUUGAAUCAUAUUAUAGCUUUAUCAUCUUAUGUUUGUGACAAUAUUAUUUUGGGUUUUCUCAUUAGAUUCAAACUACAUUUGAUUGUCAAAGACUACACCUCAACCUGUAAGCUAAUGUUGCUGGGCUCUAUUGCUAAGUCCAUCAUUGGAGUUCCUGCUGUUGACCUAUGGGAUGGCUCCUAUGAGGAGGUAUUAUCUUAAAAAUAAUUCUGUUUUAAUCACUUACUUAACACAUUGAUCCCUUAUUGUUUUAUUUGUAAUUAUUGGUAGAUUGAAGAUCCAGAGAUACUACCAUCAGCUAUAAAAAAAUUCACGAUCUAUUUUUUUCUGAGGAAAUCAAAAGUCUCUGUUUUCACUUGGAAACGUAAACAAAAAAAAUCUGUUUGUUCCCGGAAAAAAGUGUAACAGAACCCUAAUGGACAUUUAAUAAAUCAUGAUUUUUUAAGCCCAAAUCAUUAUUGUUAUUAACAGCCCUCAUUUCAUCACGAUAUUGGGCUUCCCAAAUUAUACCCUUUUUUUUUCAUUUGGUUCUUUCUGAUUUGUUUUUUUUGGUUUACAAAAUAAUCAUCACAACUUUUGCAUUUAGAAAAUGAAUUUAAAACUAACAAUGAUUCUUAAAUUCUGUAAAAAAACAUUUAAUUAAGUAGAUUAAUAUAGAUUUUGUUACCGUAAAAUUUGUAAAUCUUUUGCAUAAUAAAAUUUAGUAUAUGAAAACAUUUCAAUAUAACUUAUAGAGUAUGAAGAACAAAUGAUAUACUAAGCCUAUUAUAAACACAAAAUAAUAUGAUCACCAUAUAAACUGAAAAACAUAUAAACAAUACAUAUUAUAAUAUGGAACUCAUAUUAUGUUUAAACAUGUGAAAUUAUCUAACACUUGAAUGAUCCGUAAACAAAACAUUCAGAAAAAUAUAUCACCCGCGCGGGCGCGCGGGUCAAAAGCUAGUCUACUUUAUUAAAACAGAAGUACACAUAUAGAUUAGGGAGAAUUGGAAAAAUGGGACACUUUGAACUUUUAUCUGUCAUAAUAAGACUUUUCAUAUUUUUACUAAUUUUGGACAUGUUUUACCCUUCUUUAAUAGGAAAAAUAGUAAAUUGAAUUUUAAAAAUGUAAAAAAAUAUGAAAACUGUUGGAAACAUAAGUAUGACAAUAUAUAUGUUUAAACUUUUUUUUUAAAAAAAUUGGAAUCAUAUCUUAUUUUAUCUUCUAGGUACAGUUAGAAAACUCAUUCUGGUAAUCUACCUAGUUUAUAUGUCCGAUUCUAAGUUUUAAACAUAGAUAUAUCAAGGUUAUAUACCGUAAACUAACAUUUCUUGUAUAUUCUAGCACAAGUAGAAUCUAUUACGUUAUAAUCAAGACAUAUGUCUUCGGUCUGCCUACAGUUUGAUAACGAUAUAUAGCCACAAUUCAAUGAUAUAGGUUGGUUAUACUACGUGACAUAACUUGUUCUGCCUUUUACCUUAUAUGAUGCCUACAGGAAGAAUACAUCUCUCACCUCCUAUACGGUGUUCUGGUUAGAUAGUGUACAUAUUCUAUGCAAAUCGUGAAAAUAUGGAAAUUUCCAUAUUCGGUUUAAGAAGUUUCCUAAAUUUCCUAAAUCUUUGAUAUGUAUACUAGUUUAUAUACUAUCAAAUAUAAUAAAAAUCUUAAAAUUAAUCAUUGAUUAAUCCUUGAUUAAUCCAUGAUUAAUUUCUGGGUUAUUGUAUAUAUUGAAUUUUCAUAUAACAUGGUCAAAA
Molecule: RNA transcript, 3549 nt
Organism: Brassica rapa (field mustard)
Lineage: Eukaryota; Viridiplantae; Streptophyta; Magnoliopsida; Brassicales; Brassicaceae
Source: RefSeq, a predicted model, not a curated record